UACGUAGGUGGCAAGCGUUGUCCGGAUUUAUUGGGCGUAAAGAGCGUGUAGGCGGCCAGGUAGGUCCGCUGUGAAAACUCGAGGCUCAACCUCGAGAUGUCGGCGGAAACCAUCUGGCUAGAGUCCGGAAGAGGAGAGUGGAAUUCCUGGUGUAGCGGUGAAAUGCGCAGAUAUCAGGAAGAACACCCGUGGCGAAGGCGGCUCUCUGGGACGGUAUUGACGCUGAGGCGCGAAAGCCAGGGGAGCAAACGGG
This 253-nucleotide ribosomal RNA is filed under the name uncultured bacterium. RNAcentral's name for it is "partial 16S ribosomal RNA". It matches the Rfam family "Bacterial small subunit ribosomal RNA", at positions 524 to 776 of the family's 1533-position model. The record is from RNAcentral.